Molecule: ribosomal RNA, 377 nt
Filed under: Nannocoris cavifrons
Lineage: Eukaryota; Metazoa; Arthropoda; Insecta; Hemiptera; Schizopteridae
Description: partial 16S ribosomal RNA
Source: RNAcentral
ACUGGCCCCCAUAUUUUACCUGUGCGGAGGUAGCAUAAUUAUUAUUUUAUUAAUUGUAAACUUGUAUGAAUGGUUAAAUGAGAAAUUUACUUUCUUUGUAGUUAUUAUUAAAAUUUAUAUUUUAAGUUAAAAUACUUAAAUAUAUUUAUGGGACGAGAAGACCCUAUAAAACUUAACUCAACUUUAAUUUAAUAAAUUAAAGUUGAGUUAGAUUGGGGAGAUUACGAAAUUUUUUUAACUUUCGUUGGUUUUAUUUCAUUAAUUAUUGUUUUAAUGAUUAAAUUUUAUUUAAUUUAGAUUAAGUUACUUUAGGGAUAACAGCGUAAUUUGAUUGGAGAGUUCAUAUUAAUAAUCAAGGUUGCGNCCUCGAUGUUGAA